Molecule: ribosomal RNA, 486 nt
Filed under: Nocardia sp. 14-040
Lineage: Bacteria; Bacillati; Actinomycetota; Actinomycetes; Mycobacteriales; Nocardiaceae
Description: bacterial SSU rRNA
Rfam family: Bacterial small subunit ribosomal RNA
Source: RNAcentral
UUGAUCCUGGCUCAGGACGAACGCUGGCGGCGUGCUUAACACAUGCAAGUCGAGCGGUAAGGCCCUUCGGGGUACACGAGCGGCGAACGGGUGAGUAACACGUGGGUGAUCUGCCUCGUACUCUGGGAUAAGCCUGGGAAACUGGGUCUAAUACCGGAUAUGACCACGAGUCGCAUGGUUUGUGGUGGAAAGAUUUAUCGGUGCGAGAUGGGCCCGCGGCCUAUCAGCUUGUUGGUGGGGUAAUGGCCUACCAAGGCGACGACGGGUAGCCGGCCUGAGAGGGCGACCGGCCACACUGGGACUGAGACACGGCCCAGACUCCUACGGGAGGCAGCAGUGGGGAAUAUUGCACAAUGGGCGGAAGCCUGAUGCAGCGACGCCGCGUGCGGGAUGACGGCCUUCGGGUUGUAAACCGCUUUCGACAGGGACGAAGCGUGAGUGACGGUACCUGUAGAAGAAGCACCGGCCAACUACGUGCCAGCAGCC